Molecule: long non-coding RNA, 336 nt
Organism: Nicotiana tabacum (common tobacco)
Lineage: Eukaryota; Viridiplantae; Streptophyta; Magnoliopsida; Solanales; Solanaceae
Source: RefSeq, a predicted model, not a curated record
AAGCCUCUAUCUUAAACAGGGGACUCAAAGCCCUGUUUAGUGAGCAUACUGGGGCCAAUUGCAAUAACGAGGAUAAAAGAAAUCAAAUGAUAACUGAAGAAGCUCAAAUGUCAUUACCGGAAGGAUUCAGAGAUUCCUGAUGGACAAAGUUCGGGUGGAGAGAAGCUAUUUGGGAUUUUCGCUGCGCUUUUCUUCUGGUUUUCAUGGUUGAUUGGACAACUAUGGUAAUUGGAACUCUAUGUAUUUAAUGGUUAGCACUUAGCAGUAUAGUUUAACCAAAUGCUGGAGCAGUUAUUUGUACAUUAACAUAAUUGUUUUCACUAGAGUGGCAAUGUA